This 655-nucleotide ribosomal RNA is filed under the name Limosilactobacillus mucosae. Its description in RNAcentral is "bacterial SSU rRNA". It matches the Rfam family "Bacterial small subunit ribosomal RNA", at positions 45 to 679 of the family's 1533-position model. The record is from RNAcentral. Lineage: Bacteria; Bacillati; Bacillota; Bacilli; Lactobacillales; Lactobacillaceae.
UCCUGAUUGCUCGUGCUUGCCGGACUUGACGUUGGCUUUACCAGCGAGUGGCGCGACGGGUGAGUACACGUCAGGAUAGACCGUGUCCCCCUAGCGGGGCGAUAACAUUUGGCAAACAUGAUGCGUAAUACCGCAUAUCAAUUUGAAUCGCAUGAUUCUUAUUUAUGAGAUGGAUGCAGCUAUCACUUUGGGAUGGACCUGCGGCGCAUUAGCUUGUUGGUAGGGUACCGGACUACCAAGGCUGCGAUGCGUAUCCGAGUUGAGAGACUGAUCGACCACAAUGCAACUGACCACACGGUCCAUACUCCUACGGAAGGCACCAGUAGGGAAUCUUCCACAAUGGGCGCAAGCCUGAUGGAGCAACACCGCGUGAGUGAAGAAGGGUUUCGGCUCGUAAAGCUCUGUUGUUAGAGAAGAACGUGCGUGAGAUCAACUGUUCUCGCAGUGACGGUAUCUAACCAUACAGUCACGGCUAACUACGUGCCAGCAGCCGCGGUAAUACGUAGGUGGCAAGCGUUAUCCGGAUUUAUUGGGCGUAAAGCGAGCGCAGGCGGUUUGAUAAGUCUGAUGUGAAAGCCUUUGGCUUAACCAAAGAAGUGCAUCGGAAACUGUCAGACUUGAGUGCAGAAGAGGACAGUGGAACUCCAUGUGUAGC